Molecule: long non-coding RNA, 803 nt
Organism: Neodiprion virginianus
Lineage: Eukaryota; Metazoa; Arthropoda; Insecta; Hymenoptera; Diprionidae
Exons: 3
Source: RefSeq, a predicted model, not a curated record
GCAAGAUAAACAAGAGUUUUGCCAAAUAUGAUUCGACCGCGGUUUCGCGAUCAGAGCCGAGAGCAAAGUUCUCUUUACCAUUCGUUUGUGUUCCACGUAAAAUGUAAAUCAUUAUCCAUCCACGCGGUAGGUUAUAUAUUUAUAAAGUAUUGGAGGAACAAUUCGAACGCCAUUAAACAUGCAUCACGGUGUCGAUACUGUGGGCGAAACGCUUCGGGGAUCUAAACUCCGAGGUUAAACUCUCGGCAUUCUGUGACGACUAAUUUGUGCGUGACCUCAGCUACGAUUCACGUCGACGAUCGUGACGUCACAUCCAACAACUACCAACGCGGCAGACGUUGGAUCCGAAAUAGUCUUGGUCGUCUUGGAGGCACGCCGAUCGAUCUUCGCUUCCAAAACCGUUUUGUCGGGCAAAUUUUGUCGGAGUUGUUCUUUGCAGUCGCUCUGUUGCAUCGAUAACUAAACUACAGUCACAGACGAUGAUAAGAAUAUGAAAAUUUUGCGAAGUAAACAUUUCACAUUGUGCGUUGAUUCUCGUUUUAAUUGUCAUUGAAUAAUGGGGCGCGAGAUUUUAAUCCAGUCUUGAGGAAAUCCGUAAAAUUGGCAUUUCCUGUCGCUGACCCCACGGAACAAACUUCAAACUUGCGCAGCAGUCAACGCCAAUUGGACAGACUUACCGUGGCUCAUUCUGAUACCUAUUCAAAUGCGCCUCUGAAAUGGGAGCAAUGAAAAUACGUGCAACACAAGAAUAUAUCUCCAUGUAAAUCAAGCACACCACACUUAUUCAAUUCUGCUAGGAGCAC